UCUCCGUAGGUGAACCUGCGGAGGGAUCAUUACAGAGUUCGUGCCCUCACGGGUAGAUCUCCCACCCUAUGUUAUUAUACCUUUGUUGCUUUGGCGGGCCGCCCUCGGCUACCGGCCCCGGCUGGUACGCGCCCGCCAGAGGACCCCAAACUCUGAAUGUUAGUGUCGUCUGAGUACUAUACAAUAGUUAAAACUUUCAACAACGGAUCUCUUGGUUCUG
This 220-nucleotide unclassified non-coding RNA is filed under the name plant metagenome. Its description in RNAcentral is "partial contains small subunit ribosomal RNA, internal transcribed spacer 1, and 5.8S ribosomal RNA". The record is from RNAcentral.